RNAcentral lists this ribosomal RNA (484 nucleotides) under uncultured bacterium. RNAcentral describes it as "partial 16S ribosomal RNA". It matches the Rfam family "Bacterial small subunit ribosomal RNA", at positions 29 to 507 of the family's 1533-position model. The record is from RNAcentral.
AUUGAACGCUGGCGGCAUGCUUUACACAUGCAAGUCGAACGGCAGCGCGGGCUUCGGCCUGGCGGCGAGUGGCGAACGGGUGAGUAAUACAUCGGAACGUGCCCAGUAGUGGGGGAUAGCUCGGCGAAAGCCGGAUUAAUACCGCAUACGACCUGAGGGUGAAAGCGGGGGAUCUUCGGACCUCGCGCUAUUGGAGCGGCCGAUGGCAGAUUAGCUAGUUGGUGGGGUAAAGGCCUACCAAGGCGACGAUCUGUAGCUGGUCUGAGAGGACGACCAGCCACACUGGGACUGAGACACGGCCCAGACUCCUACGGGAGGCAGCAGUGGGGAAUUUUGGACAAUGGGCGAAAGCCUGAUCCAGCAAUGCCGCGUGUGUGAUGAAGGCCUUCGGGUUGUAAAGCACUUUUGGCGGGAACGAAAAGGACUGUGCCAGUACCACGGUUCGAUGGCGGUACCCGCAGAAUAAGCACCGGCUAACUACGUG